Molecule: ribosomal RNA, 253 nt
Filed under: uncultured bacterium
Lineage: Bacteria
Description: partial 16S ribosomal RNA
Rfam family: Bacterial small subunit ribosomal RNA
Source: RNAcentral
UACGAAGGGGGCUAGCGUUGUUCGGAAUUACUGGGCGUAAAGCGCGCGCAGGCGGUCUUCCAAGUCAGUGGUGAAAGCCCGGAGCUCAACUCCGGAAUUGCCAUUGAAACUGUGAGACUGGAGUACGAGAGAGGUGAGUGGAAUUCCCAGUGUAGAGGUGAAAUUCGUAGAUAUUGGGAAGAACACCGGUGGCGAAGGCGGCUCACUGGCUCAUUACUGACGCUCAGGCGCGAAAGCGUGGGGAUCAAACAGG